This is a long non-coding RNA of Penaeus indicus, 365 nucleotides long. RefSeq lists it as uncharacterized. The transcript is spliced from 2 exons. The record is from RefSeq and is a predicted model, not a curated record. Lineage: Eukaryota; Metazoa; Arthropoda; Malacostraca; Decapoda; Penaeidae.
UUUGCAGGGCCUCUGUGUUCCGCUGUCCUGGAGGAUGCUCCUACAAGUGCCCCGUGAUCGACUUCAACACUUGUCCUUAUGGAAAGGCACACGACGCGUGUAGUUGCUGCUUCGCGUGUGCCAAGGGACCUGGAGAAAUUUGCAAUCCUAGAUCAUAUGAAUGCGCAUCAAAUAUGUAUUGUGCACAUGCGUUUUGGAAUGUGUAUCGGUGUAAGGCGAAGUAACAAGACUGAUGCAGUUGUUUACUUAAAGGCCAGCACAACUUAAUUGUCUAAAGUGUUUCUGCAUCGAACGCCUGUCUUUAUGCUCCUUGUGGUUUAAAGAGAUAAAAAUCUGUGAAGAUCAGAAUAAAGUGCCCAAUUCCA